RNAcentral lists this ribosomal RNA (468 nucleotides) under uncultured bacterium. RNAcentral's name for it is "partial 16S ribosomal RNA". It matches the Rfam family "Bacterial small subunit ribosomal RNA", at positions 28 to 507 of the family's 1533-position model. The record is from RNAcentral.
GACGAACGCUGGCGGCGUGCUUAACACAUGCAAGUCGAACGGAAAGGCCCUGCUUGGGUGGGGUGCGCGAGUCGCGAACGGGUGAGUAACACGUGAGUAACCUCCCCGUGACUUUGGGAUAACCUCAGGAAACUGGGGCUAAUACCGGAGAGGAGCUCCCUCUGCAGUGGGGGGGGUGGAAAUUUUCGGCGGUUGGGGAUGCACUCGCGGCUUAUGAUCUUGUGGGUGGGGGAGUGGCUUCCCAAGGCUGUGACGGGGAGCGGGCCUGAGAGGGUGACCGGCCACAUUGGGACUGAGAUACGCCCCAGACUCCUACGGGAGGAAGCAGUGGGGAAUAUUGCAAAAUGGGCGGAAGCCUGAUGCAGAACGCCCGGGUGCGGGAUGCCGGCCUUCGGGUUGUAACCCGCUUUGGCCUGUGACGAAGCGUGAGUGACGGUAAUGGGUAAAGAAGCACCGGCUAACUACGUG